AAGCAUAGCUUAAACUAAAGCACCUAGUUU
RNAcentral lists this transfer RNA (30 nucleotides) under Sus scrofa (pig). RNAcentral's name for it is "partial tRNA-Val". The record is from RNAcentral. Lineage: Eukaryota; Metazoa; Chordata; Mammalia; Artiodactyla; Suidae.